RNAcentral lists this ribosomal RNA (2053 nucleotides) under human gut metagenome. Its description in RNAcentral is "bacterial LSU rRNA". It matches the Rfam family "Bacterial large subunit ribosomal RNA", at positions 1 to 1999 of the family's 2925-position model. The record is from RNAcentral.
AGAAGAUACUAAGGGCGCACGGCGGAUGCCUUGGCACAGGAAGUCGAAGAAGGACGCGGCAAGCUGCGAUAAGCUCCGGGGAGGCGCAAACGGCCUUCGAUCCGGAGAUCUCCGAAUGGGGGAACCCAGCAGGGGUCAUGCCCUGCUACCCGCGCCUGAAUGAAAUAGGGCGCGAGGAGGCAACCCGGGGAACUGAAACAUCUAAGUACCCGGAGGAAGAGAAAUCAACCGAGAUUGCGGGAGUAGCGGCGAGCGAAACCGCACCAGCCCAAACCCAUGCACGUGCAAGCUUGAGGGCGUUGCUGCAUGAGGGGUUGUGGGACCGCGCAUUCCAUGGGCCUCAGACCAUGGACGCAGUUACAAAUCCGCGCGGAAGCGGAACGGCCUGGGAAGGCCGGCGGAACAGGGUGAGAGCCCCGUACGCGAAUCCGCGCGGACUGCGAGUGCGGCGCCCGAGUAGCGCCGGGCACGUGAAACCCGGUGCGAACCUGGGGGGACCACCCUCCAAGGCUGAACACUCUCCUGUGACCGAUAGCGAACCAGUACCGUGAGGGAAAGGUGAAAAGCACCCCGAGAGGGGAGUGAAACAGUACCUGAAACCGUGCGCCUACAAGCAGUCGGAGCCCCCGAGCGGGGUGACGGCGUGCCUUUUGUAGAAUGAGCCAGCGAGUUGCGGUAUGCGGCGAGGUUAAGGUUUGAACCGAGCCGCAGUGAAAGCGAGCCUUUAAGAUGGCGUAUGAGUCGCAUGCUGCAGACGCGAAGCCGGGUGAGCUAUCCAUGGGCAGGCUGAAGCGGGGGUAAGACCCCGUGGAGGGCCGAACCCACUUCGGUUGAAAACGGAGGGGAUGACCCGUGGAUAGGGGUGAAAGGCCAAUCAAACCCGGAGAUAUCUCGUUCUCCCCGAAAUAGCUUUAGGGCUAGCCUCGGCCGUUCUCCGACGGCGGUAGAGCACUGGAUCGUCGAGGGGGCUUCACCGCCUACCGACACGAACCAAACUCCGAAUGCCGCCGGAUCAGAGGCCGGGAGUCAGAACAUGUGGGCUAAGCUGUGUGUUCGAGAGGGAAACAGCCCAGACCGCCCGCUAAGGUCCCCAAGUUUAUGCUGAGUGGCAAAGGAUGUGCGUUUGCCUAGACAACCAGGAUGUUGGCUUAGAAGCAGCCAUGCAUUUAAAGAGUGCGUAACAGCUCACUGGUCAAGUGGACAUGCGCCGACAAUUCACGGGGCUAAGCAUAACACCGAAGCGGCGGACUAAUCUAUAUUAGUGGUAGGGGAGCUUUCCCCGCAGCGGAGAAGCCGAGAGGGCGACCCUCGGUGGAGCGCGGGGAAGUGAGAAUGCUGGCAUGAGUAACGAGAGCGGCGCGAGAAACGCCGCCGCCGUAAGCCUAAGGGUUCCUGGGCAAGGCUAAUCCUCCCAGGGUCAGUCGGGAGCUAAGGCGAGGCCGAGAGGCGUAGCCGAUGCGCAACAGGCGGACAUUCCUGUACCGCCUGCGGACCGCUAUCACCGACGGGGUGACGGAGAAGGGUAGCCGAGCGGGGUUCUGGACGUCCCCGUGAAAGCGCGUAGGGCGCGGAGCAUGGAAAUCAGCUCCGCAGAAAGCCUGAGACGCGAGACGAAAGCUUAUGCUGAAGUCGGCGAGCCCAUGCUUCCGAGAAAAACCUCUAGGAAGGGACGCAGGCGCCCGUACCAAAACCGACACAGGUGGGCAGGUAGAGCAUACCGAGGCGAUCGGGAGAACCAUGGUUAAGGAACUCGGCAUACUGACUCCGUAACUUCGGGAGAAGGAGUGCCCCUGGCGGUGACGGGACUUGCUCCCCGAGCGGCCGGGGGUCGCAGCGAAACGGCCCAAGCGACUGUUUAUCAAAAACACAGGACUCUGCAAAGCCGUAAGGCGACGUAUAGGGUCUGACGCCUGCCCGGUGCUGGAAGGUUACGCGGAUGGGUCAGCCGCAAGGCGAAGCUCUGAAGCCAAGCCCCAGUAAACGGCGGCCGUAACUAUAACGGUCCUAAGGUAGCGAAAUUCCUUGUCGGGUAAGUUCCGACCUGCACGAAUGG